RNA transcript from Dendroctonus ponderosae (mountain pine beetle), 2067 nucleotides. RefSeq lists it as uncharacterized. NCBI's taxonomy places the organism in Eukaryota, Metazoa, Arthropoda, Insecta, Coleoptera, Curculionidae. The record is from RefSeq and is a predicted model, not a curated record. The transcript has 4 exons.
ACAUUAGCGUCGCAACCACCCGCCUGCAGCCACUUGACGUCACAGCGUCGCGUGCCUCUACCACUUCGAAAUGGACGACCGUCGCGGCAGUAACAAAACCGACGCCAAGAUCGACGCUUCGCCACAAACGGCCCUGUGCUCUAACGACGGAAAGUUUCAUAUAUUCGGACAAAUCGUCGCACUAUCAUGACCUAAAGUUCGCAAAUCACAUUUUUCUUCAUCUAGUUAGCUAUGCGAAGAACGUAACGCUGUCCGAAAUUCAAUUGUUCCGAAGAAGUAACGUAACGCGUUCACGGCCAACUUUCAUCGAAUAAUUAUCUAAUUUGUUGAUUAUGCCAUAAGUUGUCGCUGUAAUUGGAUCAUACAGUCAUGAAAUAGCGCAUUUGUUUCAAGUCAUCAUGUUGAAGAAGAGGAGGAUUUGCUGAUGGAAUCCCAAUAGAAACCAGCCACCGAUCAAGUUUGUGAACUUUUGUUUCAAUUUUUUGCGAUAACAAUUGAAGAUGAACCACUCGACGCUGUACGGAAUGGUCGAAAAAACGUUAAGAAUGGAGCUCGAACGCAACAUCAGGUCGCCUGGCAAUAAGGGUCAUGUACCGGGGUCGUCUAAUAAGAGCACUUCAGCAUCGAACACUAACCAAGGAUAUGCGACGCUUAUUGUAAUGUUAGCGGUGCUAACCAUCAUUGUUCUGUUUUGCUGUUUUUCGGCUCCGGGAAUCCGAAAUCUUUGCAAGAGGUACAUAUUCAGGUCGUGUCCGUACGAUGAUCCAGAAGUAGAUAAUGAAAAACCGAUUUUUUGCAGUGUAUACUAGAGGAUAUUACUCACAGACUGACCUGACGGGCGUCAUUACCAUCCCCCCAAAAAAUGAAGAGGUAAAAAGGUAGUACGCCCAUCCCAGAAAGCUCAACGCCCACAGUAAUCCUGCUUCCAUACGGCAGAAUGCUGGUAGUGGAUCGUUCCAUUUUCAGUCAGCUGCAGGCCGAUCAGUCCGGAAUCGAUCUGCUGGAGCUGAGCGCCAAUCUGAUCCGCAACCAAAGCGACACUGUGCGACUCACAUGCAGCACUCCCAGUAUUCUAGAUAGCGACACCACGUCCAAAGGCUUAAGCCCCACUUCGUUGGGCUUCGGGCCUCCGGCCUACGAAGAUAUCUUCGGUUUGAGGGAACUCGAUCUGCCUCCUUCCUACAGUGAAGUGAGUCUAUUGCUGCUGAACAACCUGCGGAAUGGCGAGUGCAUUGAGCUGGAGGAAGUGCAAGUUCAGCCGCAAAAGACUACGGAGAAUGGUGCGAAUGGAGACUGUACUAGAGAGAGUGGAACUAGUCUUUAAGGUGCUUGUUUCAACUGUGUUAGCUCGACUUGAAGAUUUUCUUUCACAGUCAUGGUUUUGGUGGAAAAACUAGCGCAGCGAUUUUCUUUAGCUUCUAUGUAGAGGCUCUUCGUUUCAAGACAAUUUCUAAACUGGAGCUACUUGUACAUACCAAACUCUAAUUGAGCUUAGUACGUUUUAUCCAACGGUUCCAUGUUUUCAAAGAACAAGUUCAGACUCAACUAUUUUUGGUUAAAAACUUUUAUGCUUUCAAUACAUAUAUUAAGCUGAAUUAUUCUAUUGCAUUUUGCGCACUUUUUCAUCUACAAAGUACGUUUCAAACGGCACAGACUCCCCUUCCCAUCACUUGCACUUUUGUUACAGUUUUGGUCUUGAAAGUAAAUAAGUUACUAAUAAACGAACAGUCCUGCCGACUGCGUCCCAACGCACUUCCACAUUCAGAUCGUUAGUCCUGCAAAAUAUCAAAUAAUCAUGGAUUAUUCAAUUUUCUAAUAUCAUCAAGCGCUCAAUUGAAGCUCCGUUUUGUGCUAGAUCUACCCGCGUCGUGCUGUAUAGUGUGUUUGGCAAAAAUCAACGAAACAGAGUGAAAUCUUGGAAAACAGUUCAGCGACUGAUGUGUUUGUAACAGUAUCAUUACUAAAUAUAUAAAGACAGAAAGACAGUGAUAUUUUAAUAGUAGAAAAUGUUUUGUAUUAUAACGUUAGAUAGGAGGAAUAUUGGACAAUAAAUGUUAACUUCUUGUA